Molecule: ribosomal RNA, 245 nt
Filed under: uncultured bacterium
Lineage: Bacteria
Description: partial 16S ribosomal RNA
Rfam family: Bacterial small subunit ribosomal RNA
Source: RNAcentral
UACGUAUGGGGCGAGCGUUGUUCGGAUUUAUUGGGCGUAAAGGGCGCGUAGGCGGUUCGGAAAGCCUGGUGUGAAAGGCUACGGCUUAACCGUAGUUAGGCGCUGGGAACUGCCGGACUGGAGUUUAGGAGGGGAAGCUGGAAUUCCUGGUGUAGGGGUGAAAUCUGUAGAUAUCAGGAAGAACACCGGAGGCGAAGGCGAGCUUCUAUCCAUAGACUGACGCUGAGGCGCGAAAGCGUGGGGAG